Long non-coding RNA from Magnolia sinica, 899 nucleotides. RefSeq lists it as uncharacterized. The record is from RefSeq and is a predicted model, not a curated record. The transcript is spliced from 4 exons. Lineage: Eukaryota; Viridiplantae; Streptophyta; Magnoliopsida; Magnoliales; Magnoliaceae.
GCUCACAGAUCUUGAUGAACAGGUCCAAGAGGAUCAAUGGAAGACUCUCAUUCAGUUUUAGAACUCUGAAGGGGGGAAGGUUCGUUCUAAAAAAAAUAAAGAGAAUCGGAAGAAACAAUUGAUUAACCACGCGGCAGGCUCGAAGAGUUUUGCGCGAAUACAUGAGGAAGAGAGGAAAAAGGCCAAUGGGGAGGAUCUGAUCCGGGUAGAUAUGUUUAUCUUGACUCAUACAUGCAAAGAUAGAAAGCUUGUGGAUGAGGCCUCAUCAGUAAUAAUGACAAAACUCAAUGAAGAAAUAUCUCAGCAACCCAGGGCCUCACAGAGUAGCACGGUAAGGAAUGAUCUAUUAUCUCAAGUCAUGGGAGAAGAGAAGUAUGGUCAUGUCCGCACUUAUGGGUUAGGACCAUCUCCAUCUGAUUUGUGGGGUGCAACAUCCAGCUAACAAAGGAUGGCUUCCAUUGAUCAGAGGAGAGAUGAAAGAUAUAAGGAACUACAUGCUGAUAUAGUCUCUCUUAAAGAAAAUAUAGCUGCACUCUCAUCCUCAAGAGAAGCUGAAAUGUCAUCCCUUAAAGAAACUAUGGUUGAAAUCUCAUCCGCAAGAGAUGUUGAAAUUUCUUUCUUGAAAGAAACUCUGAUGAAAUUGAUAGCCACUAUAAAUAAUGCAAACAAUAACCCACCCACAGUAUUUGGUGUUGCAGUUAGUUCUAACAUGAACCAACCGUCCUCAUCAUCAAGCCAUUGGGUGACCUCUUGGGUAAUUAUAUUAUAUACAUGUAUUUAUUUACAUAUGCACUAUGUCCUAGAUUAUAUAUAGUUUAGUUGGUAUAUAAUGAUUGAUAUUGAUUUAUCAUUUGCAAAAACACUCGACGAAUAAGGGGAAUACCACGAGUUGCACUAGU